CCUACGGGAGGCAGCAGUGAGGAAUUUUCCGCAAUGGGCGAAAGCCUGACGGAGCAAUACCGCGUGAGGGAUGAAGGAUUUUGGUCUGUAAACCUCUUUUCUCAAGAAAGAAGUUCUGACGGUACUUGAGGAAUAAGCAUCGGCUAACUCCGUGCCAGCAGCCGCGGUAAUACGGGGGAUGCAAGCGUUAUCCGGAAUGAUUGGGCGUAAAGCGCCUGUAGGUUGUUUAUUAAGUCCGUUGUUAAAGCCUAGGGCUCAACCCUAGAAAAGCAAUGGAAACUAGUAGACUAGAGUAUGGCAGGGGUAGAGGGAAUUUCUAGUGUAGCGGUGAAAUGCGUAGAUAUUAGAAAGAACACCGGUGGCGAAAGCGCUCUACUGGACCAUUACUGACACUCAGAGGCGAAAGCUAGGGUAGCAAAAGGGAUUAGAUACCCCUGUAGUCCUAGCCGUAAACGAUGGAUACUAGAUGUUGUGCAUUAUGUACAGUAUCGUAGCUAACGCGUUAAGUAUCCCGCCUGGGGAGUACGCUCGCAAGGGUGAAACUCAAAGGAAUUGACGGNUGAGAGNGCGAGACGACACGAGGAGAG
This 587-nucleotide ribosomal RNA is filed under the name uncultured bacterium. RNAcentral's name for it is "bacterial SSU rRNA". It matches the Rfam family "Bacterial small subunit ribosomal RNA", at positions 338 to 948 of the family's 1533-position model. The record is from RNAcentral.